GUUAGAAAUUUUCUGCUCUUCAAAAUAAAUUGUGACCCUUUUUUUUAUUUUUUAUUUUUUUGUCUAUUACAACCGUUGAUAGAAAUAGAAUUGGAUUCGUUAGACACUAAGCAAACUUUUGUUUAUUUUUCUGGCUAUAAAUAUUAUACGCUAAAACAAACGUAAUUUGCAUUUUUGCAGGGUUAUAUAUUGAGUUAAGCUUGACCUUCUUUUUAACAUAAACUUAUUUUGUAAAUAUAUGUUACAAACCAGAAAAUAUAUAUAUAUAUAUAUACACAGAGAGUCUACCAUGGGGACUGACCGCAUGCCUCCUGUGCGGACCAAACAUGUGAUCAAAAUUGGAGCCCUUGGAUUUGCACACCUAGCAUCAAUGGCCAAGCUUCAAGUUGCUCUCACGCGAGAAUUUUGGCCAAAAUCUCCCCUGAGCCCUUCGCAGCUUCCUCUUCUAUUUGCCUCUGCAUUUCCCCUUUCCAUUCGUGAGAUCUUUGGCCAAAUUUCCCCUUUCCCUUUGCAGCUUUCUCUUCUAUUUGCCUUUGCAUUUCCCCUUUCCAUUCGUGAGAUCUUUAGCCAAAUUUUCCCUUCCUCUUCGCAGCUUCCUCUUCUAUUUGCCUCCGUAUUUCCCCUUCCCAUUUGUAGGUUCCUCUUCUAUUUUCCUCUACUUCCACACUUCCACCAUUACAGUGACGUUGCAAGCCACUGAUCCCCAGCUUGUGGGAAAGUCGUUCAGCCCCACCAGUUCCAGCCAUUCUCCUUUGCUGCUUCCACCGGCCACCAGAUUCUCUAGUGCUUCCACCAUCGGGAGUAUAUAGAAAUCACAGCUGGAGAUUAGUUGUGUAAGCAUGGCAACAAGUACUAGUGAUGUUCAACCAAUCCGAAUGUGCUCAUGUGGGCAAUAUAUGCAUUUAAAAACAUCAAGGAGAGAUAAGAAUCCAAAUCGUCAAUUCUGGAAAUGCUUAGAUGGAGAACAGGAAAAAGGAUGUGGUAGAUUCAUUUGGGCAAAAGAAGGUGAAGCUAAACUAGAAAAAAUUGAUGUACUUAUCGGUGAAGUUCGUCGUUUAUCUUUGGAAGUGGAGAAAUCUAGUAAUAUUCUUGAAGCAAUUCAGAAAAAUACUAAAAGGUGCGACCAAUAUGACAUUAAGACGGUCAUAUUCCUUGUACUUUUAUUAUUUAUUUCCUUAAAAAUGUUAGCCUAGUAAUGUAGUCAAGUAAGAUAUAUGUAUGUUCGGUUGGUAAACAAAUCAUGUAGUAAAUUCUACCUUAUGCUUGUGAAGCACCAUAUGUAUCCUAUUAAGCUCGCUGUAUGUUUUGUUGAAAUUGUCUGUUAUAAUUAACUAUGCAAUAUGAUGUGUCAAGUAUGUUGAACUUUUUGGUGAAUUGAUUUGCAUUUUAUUCCCUUUAUAUCGCUGAUAUGGUUCACAUAAUUGUAGCCCUUUGGUGUGGGUUGCAUGCUUUCAUUGAUGAUUUUUAUAGGUUCCUGUUUCAAAUGUAUUCAUUAUCAGUACUGGUAUUAACCCUAAAGCCAAAUCAUAUUACCUUUUUUAUGGCUAUGCACAUCUCUCUUCUGGGCUUGCUUGUGGUCUUGCUGGGCUUGCGGGUGGAAUGGCAAUUGGUAUAGUUGGUGACACUGGUAUCAGGUAAUAUUAUUAUUGUUAUUAUUUUUUUCUAUUUGCAUUACCACAUGUGCAUAUGUGUAAUUCAUCUUGUUAUUGGUUGUUAAUCUAAUCCCUCUGUUAUAUGAAGAUUUUUUUUUUUUGUUUGGUUUAAAAAAUAUUGUUACCUAAAGAGUCAUUAGUAAAAUGUUCAAGUUAAGUAGAUGUAGCUCUUCCCAAUAAAAGCAGUUAAGUAUUGCAUUAAUUCUGCUUCCAAAAUCAAUUCCUCCUAGAUGUUUGGGAUCCUCUAUGACUAAUAUGGGGGUCUAAAUAAAGGAAUUGAAGAUCAAUUUUAAUGGAUAAGAGUUUAUGGUAGAAGAAGCGAUUAGGUUUUCUUAUCAUAAAGAUGUUACUCAAGAAGACAAAAUGUGAGACUAGUCUUCCACUAAUUUCCAGGAAUUUAAAUUUAUUUGUUUUUGUUUAUUUUAGAUAAAUAUUUCAUCAA
Long non-coding RNA from Ziziphus jujuba (common jujube), 2094 nucleotides. RefSeq lists it as uncharacterized. The transcript is spliced from 3 exons. Lineage: Eukaryota; Viridiplantae; Streptophyta; Magnoliopsida; Rosales; Rhamnaceae. The record is from RefSeq and is a predicted model, not a curated record.